GAUCCUGGCUCAGGACGAACGCUGGCGGCGUGCCUAAUACAUGCAAGUCGAACGAGAGCGACCGGUGCUUGCACUGGUCAAUCUAGUGGCGAACGGGUGAGUAACACGUGGGUAACCUGCCCAUCAGAGGGGGAUAACAUUCGGAAACGAAUGCUAAAACCGCAUAGGUCCUUUAACUGCAUGGUUGAAAGGAGGAAAAAGAGGCGCAAGCUUCUGCUGAUGGAUGGACCCGCGGUGCA
RNAcentral lists this ribosomal RNA (239 nucleotides) under uncultured bacterium. Its description in RNAcentral is "partial 16S ribosomal RNA". It matches the Rfam family "Bacterial small subunit ribosomal RNA", at positions 15 to 240 of the family's 1533-position model. The record is from RNAcentral.